RNAcentral lists this ribosomal RNA (438 nucleotides) under uncultured Planctomycetota bacterium. Its description in RNAcentral is "bacterial SSU rRNA". It matches the Rfam family "Bacterial small subunit ribosomal RNA", at positions 401 to 831 of the family's 1533-position model. The record is from RNAcentral. Lineage: Bacteria; Pseudomonadati; Planctomycetota.
GGGUGAGGAAGGCCCUCGGGUUGUAAAGCCCUGUCAGGAGUUAAGAAAUAUAAGUGCGCUAAUAUCGCAUUUAUUUGACGAAGGCUCCAAAGGAAGUCACGGCUAACUCUGUGCCAGCAGCCGCGGUAAUACAGAGGUGGCAAGCGUUGUUCGGAAUUAUUGGGCGUAAAGAGCACGUAGGUGGGUUUGUAAGUCAGAUGUGAAAGCCUUCUGUUCAACGGAAGAAUUGCAUCUGAAACUGCGAGUCUUGAGUGUAGGAGGGGAGAAUGGAACUUCUGGUGGAGCGGUGAAAUGCGUAGAUAUCAGAAGGAACGCCGGCGGCGAAAGCGAUUCUCUGGCCUAUUACUGACACUCAGUGUGCGAAAGCUAGGGGAGCAAACGGGAUUAGAUACCCCGGUAGUCCUAGCCGUAAACGAUGGGCACUAAGUAGAGGGGUUU